UGCAGGUCAUGGGCAAGGGCAGUCAAUGACCUUGCGGAUGCUGAUGAACCACAGCUAUAAAGAACUCAGAGACAAGAGUUUGUGUCCCUGGAUUGGCAGAUUCUGAAGGAGGUUCAAAGAGGAGAGGGUCUGGAAGCCCAGCACGCGGUCAGCUAAAUCUUCCUAAUACCAACACCACCUGAUAUCAGAGGAUGUGUGACUGCAACGAAGUCAGAAAGGAAAGAGACAGUGGUCUUAACUGAUGAUGGUUCAUACACCCUUCUUUUGCAAAUUUUGUUCAAAGAAAAGAAAAGAAAAGAAAAGUCUACCACGUGAACCAUCUCUGGGAUUCUUUCCAGGACCUUGAAACCGGCCUGUAUCUCCAUUCCUGUCCCAUCAAGAUUCUUCGGCCCUUAACUCCCUACACUCCUGGGAAGCCUGCCUUGAAGGGAACGGAUGCAGCAUGAGGUGCGCCAGCAGACGGAGAAAGGGGGCCACAUGCAUAGCCUGUAGAAGCUGGAAAAGGCAAGGAAAAAGAUUCUCCCCUAGAGCCUCCGGGAAGCAGCACGGCCCUCUUGACACCUUGAUCUUAGCCCGGGGAGACCUGUGUUGGCCUUCUACCUUUGGGAGCUGUAAAAUAAUAAAUCUGCAUUGUUUCAAGCUA
This is a long non-coding RNA of Felis catus (domestic cat), 643 nucleotides long. RefSeq lists it as uncharacterized. NCBI's taxonomy places the organism in Eukaryota, Metazoa, Chordata, Mammalia, Carnivora, Felidae. The transcript has 3 exons. The record is from RefSeq and is a predicted model, not a curated record.